UACGGAGGGUGCAAGCGUUAUCCGGAUUCACUGGGUUUAAAGGGUGCGUAGGCGGGCAGGUAAGUCAGUGGUGAAAUCCUAGAGCUUAACUCUAGAACUGCCAUUGAUACUAUCUGUCUUGAAUAUUGUGGAGGUAAGCGGAAUAUGUCAUGUAGCGGUGAAAUGCUUAGAUAUGACAUAGAACACCAAUUGCGAAGGCAGCUCACUACACAAUCAUUGACUCUGAGGCACGAAAGCGUGGGGAUCAAACAGG
This 253-nucleotide ribosomal RNA is filed under the name uncultured bacterium. Its description in RNAcentral is "partial 16S ribosomal RNA". It matches the Rfam family "Bacterial small subunit ribosomal RNA", at positions 524 to 776 of the family's 1533-position model. The record is from RNAcentral.